UGACCACACUUUGUCCAAAUUGCUACCAUCAAAUUUCAUUCCCUUAGCCCACCAUAUUUCCUCCUAACCGGCCCAAUACCAAAAGAAGCCCAUUUGGCAUUGCAACAGCAAACAAUUCCCAGCCCAAACUCAAUUUCAAAGAGACCCCACCAGUAAAUACAUCAGCAACAGCAGUACCAAAUAUGAGAAUGACCCCAACCACGUUUCUUCUUCCUUUUUCACGCGAAGAAUUCCAGAACCGACAACAACGAUAGAAAACCCAGCAUACGCGUGCGACUCCGACGACCCUUGUACGCGCUUCAUCUCCCUCACGCGAAGGAGAGUUCACGGAAUCCAACCGUCAAUAGACGGAACAACACACGGAAAGUAGCCGCAGAGGGCAGUACGCUGCUUCUUUUUGUCUUCUUCCUCCCAUCCCUUUCAAUUAUUAAUAUUGCAUCAGGCACGCGUUUCUCCCCUUUCUUCUUUCGGAAUAGGGCGAAAAUUUCAAAAAAAGGUUUGUUUUUCCUUAAGGGUGAAAGGAUUUUGAUUUUUGAAUUUGGAAUGGAAAAUUUCCAUCCGUUUCCCCC
This 569-nucleotide long non-coding RNA is filed under the name Solanum tuberosum (potato). Its description in RNAcentral is "long non-coding RNA (STUB_LNC005962)". Lineage: Eukaryota; Viridiplantae; Streptophyta; Magnoliopsida; Solanales; Solanaceae. The record is from RNAcentral.